This 253-nucleotide ribosomal RNA is filed under the name uncultured bacterium. Its description in RNAcentral is "partial 16S ribosomal RNA". It matches the Rfam family "Bacterial small subunit ribosomal RNA", at positions 524 to 776 of the family's 1533-position model. The record is from RNAcentral.
UACAGAGGGUGCAAGCGUUAAUCGGAAUUACUGGGCGUAAAGCGUGCGUAGACGGUUAUGUAAGUCAGGUGUGAAAGCCCCGGGCUCAACCUGGGAAUUGCAUUUGAGACUGCAUAGCCAGGGUGCGGAAGAGGGAAGCGGAAUUUCCGGUGUAGCGGUGAAAUGCGUAGAUAUCGGAAGGAACAUCAGUGGCGAAAGCGGCUUCCUGGUCCAGCACCGACGUUCAGGCACGAAAGCGUGGGGAGCAAACAGG